This 253-nucleotide ribosomal RNA is filed under the name uncultured bacterium. RNAcentral's name for it is "partial 16S ribosomal RNA". It matches the Rfam family "Bacterial small subunit ribosomal RNA", at positions 524 to 776 of the family's 1533-position model. The record is from RNAcentral.
UACGUAGGUGGCAAGCGUUGUCCGGAUUUAUUGGGUUUAAAGGGUGCGUAGGCGGCUUUGUAAGUCAGUGGUGAAAUAUGGCAGCUUAACUGUCAGGGUGCCAUUGAUACUGCGGAGCUUGAGUACAGAUGAGGUAGGCGGAAUUGGCGGUGUAGCGGUGAAAUGCUUAGAUAUCGUCAAGAACACCUAUAGCGAAGGCAGCUUACUAGGCUGUAACUGACGCUGAGGCACGAAAGUGUGGGGAUCAAACAGG